RNAcentral lists this ribosomal RNA (310 nucleotides) under uncultured bacterium. RNAcentral's name for it is "bacterial SSU rRNA". It matches the Rfam family "Bacterial small subunit ribosomal RNA", at positions 29 to 334 of the family's 1533-position model. The record is from RNAcentral.
AAUGAACGCUGGCGGCGCGCCUAAUACAUGCAAGUCGAGCGAGAAGACGUAGCAAUACGUUUGUAAAGCGGCGAACGGGUGAGGAAUACAUGGGUAACCUACCCUCGAGUGGGGAAUAACUAGCCGAAAGGUUAGCUAAUACCGCGUACGCUCCUUGGACUUCGGUUCAGGGAGGAAGCGAUACCGUGGUAUCGCGCUCUUGGUGGGCUCAUGUCCUAUCAGCUUGUUGGUGAGGAACGCUCACCAAGGCUUCGACGGGUAGCUGGUCUGAGAGGACGAUCAGCCACACUGGCACUGCGACACGGGCCAG